This 624-nucleotide ribosomal RNA is filed under the name uncultured bacterium. RNAcentral describes it as "bacterial SSU rRNA". It matches the Rfam family "Bacterial small subunit ribosomal RNA", at positions 61 to 680 of the family's 1533-position model. The record is from RNAcentral.
GUCGAACGGUAGCAGGAAGUGCUUGCACUUUGCUGACGAGUGGCGGACGGGUGAGUAAUACUUAGGAACAUGCCUUUGUGUGGGGGAUAACCAUUGGAAACGAUGGCUAAUACCGCAUAAUGUCUUUGGACCAAAGAGGGCUUUCGGGCUCUCGCGCAAAGAGUGGCCUAAGUGAGAUUAGCUUGUUGGUGAGGUAAAGGCUCACCAAGGCGACGAUCUCUAGCUGUUCUGAGAGGAAGAUCAGCCACACUGGGACUGAGACACGGCCCAGACUCCUACGGGAGGCAGCAGUGGGGAAUAUUGCACAAUGGGGGCAACCCUGAUGCAGCCAUGCCGCGUGUGUGAAGAAGGCCUUCGGGUUGUAAAGCACUUUCAGUUGUGAGGAAAGUUUGACGGUUAAUACCCGUUAGAUGUGACGUUAGCAACAGAAGAAGGACCGGCUAACUCCGUGCCAGCAGCCGCGGUAAUACGGAGGGUCCGAGCGUUAAUCGGAAUUACUGGGCGUAAAGCGCACGCAGGCGGUUUGUUAAGCUAGAUGUGAAAGCCCCGGGCUCAACCUGGGAAUAGCAUUUAGAACUGGCAGGCUAGAGUCUUGGAGAGGGGAGUGGAAUUUCUGGUGUAGCG